AGUAGCGGCGAGCGAACAGGGAAGAGUCCAGCACCGAACCCCGCAGGCUGCCGCCUGUCGUGGCAUGUGGUGUUUGGGAGGGUCCACUACCCCGACGCCUCGCGCCGAGUCCAAGUCCAACUUGAAUGAGGCCACGGCCCGUAGAGGGUGCCAGGCCCGUAGCGGCCGGUGCGAGCGUCGGCGGGACCUCUCCUUCGAGUCGGGUUGCUUGAGAGUGCAGCUCCAAGUGGGUGGUAAACUCCAUCUGAGACUAAAUAUGACCACGAGACCGAUAGCGAACAAGUACCGUGAGGGAAAGUUGAAAAGAACUUUGAAGAGAGAGUUCAAAAGUACGUGAAACCGUUCUGGGGUAAACGUGAGAAGUCCGAAAGGUCGAACGGGCGAGAUUCACGCCCAUCCGGCCACUGGCCCCCGCCCUCGGCAGAUGGGGCCGGCCGCCCGCGCGGAGCAAUCCGCGGCGGGGUCGUGUCCGGUUGCCUUUCCACUCGCCGCGGGGCGGGGCCGUUCCAGUGCGCGGUGGGCCGCACUUCUCCCCUAGUAGGACGUCGCGACCCGCUGGGUGCCGGCCUACGGCCCGGGUGCGCAGCCUGUCCUUCCGCGGGCCUCGGUCCGCGUCUGUUGGGCAGAGCCCCGGUGCCCCGGCUGGCUGCUCGGCGGUACAUCUGGAGGAGUCGAUUCGCCAAACAAAUACCGUUUGGGCGCCCGGGCUCCCGGCAAGCGCGCGCGGUUCUUCCCGGAUGACGGACCUACCUGGCCCGGCCCCGGACCCGCGCCGCUGUUGGCUCGGGACGCUCUCGGGCGGAAUAAUCGCUCCCGUCAGCGGCGCUUCAGCUUUGGACAAUUUCACGACCCGUCUUGAAACACGGACCAAGGAGUCUAACAUGUGCGCGAGUCAUUGGGCCGUGCGAAGCCUAAAGGCGCAAUGAAAGUGAAGGUCUCGCCUUGCGCGGGCCGAGGGAGGAUGGGGCUUCCCCGCCCCUUGACGGGGCGGCGGCCUCCGCACUCCCGGGGCGUCUCGUCCUCAUUGCGAGGUGAGGCGCACCUAGAGCGUACACGUU
RNAcentral lists this ribosomal RNA (1058 nucleotides) under Arminda burri. RNAcentral's name for it is "eukaryotic LSU rRNA". It matches the Rfam family "Eukaryotic large subunit ribosomal RNA", at positions 82 to 810 of the family's 3401-position model. The record is from RNAcentral. Lineage: Eukaryota; Metazoa; Arthropoda; Insecta; Orthoptera; Acrididae.